CAGUCGCCACGGUAAAACGUAGGGUGCAAGCGUUAAUCGGAAUUACUGGGCGUAAAGCGUGCGCAGGCGGUGUUGUAAGGCUGAUGUGAAAUCCCCGGGCUCAACCUGGGAACUGCAUUGGUGACUGCAACGCUGGAGUGCGGCAGAGGGGGAUGGAAUUCCGCGUGUAGCAGUGAAAUGCGUAGAUAUGCGGAGGAACACCGAUGGCGAAGGCAAUCCCCUGGGCCUGCACUGACGCUCAUGCACGAAAGCGUGGGGAGCAAACAGGAUUAGAUACCCGCGUAGUCCCUGUCUCUUAUAC
This 301-nucleotide ribosomal RNA is filed under the name uncultured bacterium. RNAcentral's name for it is "partial 16S ribosomal RNA". It matches the Rfam family "Bacterial small subunit ribosomal RNA", at positions 509 to 807 of the family's 1533-position model. The record is from RNAcentral.